AAUUGCGGUCAUACCCCACUGGAGAUGCGCAAUCUCAUCUGAUCUUGGAAGCUAAGCAGUGGAGGGCCAGGUUAGUACUUGGAUGGGAGACCACCUGGGAAUACUCAGGUGCUGCAAUUU
Pseudophryne corroboree (corroboree frog) is the source of this 120-nucleotide ribosomal RNA. The record is from RefSeq and is a predicted model, not a curated record. Lineage: Eukaryota; Metazoa; Chordata; Amphibia; Anura; Myobatrachidae.